UCGGGAAUUUUGGGCAAUGGGCGAAAGCCUGACCCAGCAACGCCGCGUGAAGGAUGAAGUAUUUCGGUAUGUAAACUUCGAAAGAAUAGGAAGAAUAAAUGACGGUACUAUUUAUAAGCUCCGUCUAACUACGUGCCAGCAGCCGCGGUAAUACGUAGGGAGCAAGCGUUGUUCGGAUUUACUGGGCGUAAAGGGCGCGUAGGCGGCGUGUCAAGUCGAUUGUGAAAUCUCCGGGCUUAACUCGGAACGGCCAAUCGAUACUGACGUGCUAGAGUGCAGAAAGGGCAAUCGGAAUUCUUGGUGUAGCGGUGAAAUGCGUAGAUAUCAAGAGGAACACCUGAGGCGAAGGCGGGUUGCUAGGCUGACACUGACGCUGAGUGCGCGAAAGCCAGGGGAGCAAAC
RNAcentral lists this ribosomal RNA (402 nucleotides) under uncultured bacterium. RNAcentral describes it as "bacterial SSU rRNA". It matches the Rfam family "Bacterial small subunit ribosomal RNA", at positions 355 to 773 of the family's 1533-position model. The record is from RNAcentral.